Molecule: long non-coding RNA, 905 nt
Organism: Podarcis raffonei (Aeolian wall lizard)
Lineage: Eukaryota; Metazoa; Chordata; Lepidosauria; Squamata; Lacertidae
Exons: 4
Source: RefSeq, a predicted model, not a curated record
AUAAGGCUUGGCUCCAAGGCACUUUCGCAUCUUGGCCGCCCACCUCUGAGCACGUUCCAGCUUGUUGAAGAACGGAGCCAAAUAUGAUAUUGAGAAGCUAAGCUGCUUAAAGCAAGCAGUGAAAGGAUUAAGGGCACCCUUAAGGAGAGGCUCAGAUUGAGCCUUGAGAUCUCAAUGACUCAGUGUGGGAGGAGACAUUCUGUUGCCUGAGAUUCGUGGAGCACCAAGGGCUGGAAUACGUUCUGAGGUGCGUUAAGUACCGGUGGUUGAAUUGAAAUUAGACAACCCACACAAAUCAGGAGCAGGUGACAGUAGAUGGAGACCAGUUGAACCGGCACAAACCUCCCUGUGGAUUAUUGCAAAAGAUCAAUCACUCCACCCCAAACUGAAUUAGCAGCCACCUACCAGUUCUGGGAAGGAAAGGAGAAGCUGCGUACAUAAAGGAACCUGAGAUUCUUAGACCACUGGAACAUCACCAGGAGAAGGCAUUCAAGACAGAAUAAACAUCGCCACCUUGUAAAGGUGAACCCAGCAAGCUGCCAAGAUGUGCAACUUGAAUUUUGUUUGGACCAUACUGAAAUGUAUUUUUACGAUCGUAAAGUGGAUUUGUAACAAGGCCAAAGAACGGAUGAAGCCACACAAGCCGGCGAUUGAAAAAUCACCCAAGGCAGAGACUGAAAAACCACCCAAGCCAGCGACUGAAAAACCACCAAAGCCAGCGACUGAAAAACCACCCAAACCAGCAACUGGGAAACCACCCAAGCCAGCAACUGAAAAGCAAGACUAAAGAGGGAAUGACGGACCUCCACAGUCCCGUCUUCUCCAACACUGGCAGUAACAUCCCUCUGAUUGUCAAGGCACACCAUGUUAUUUUGUUAAUGCAAUAAAGCUUGUUUGGAGCCGAA